Molecule: transfer RNA, 86 nt
Filed under: Devosia sp.
Lineage: Bacteria; Pseudomonadati; Pseudomonadota; Alphaproteobacteria; Hyphomicrobiales; Devosiaceae
Also listed under: 3 other names
Description: tRNA-Leu
Rfam family: tRNA
About the family: Transfer RNA (tRNA) molecules are approximately 80 nucleotides in length. Their secondary structure includes four short double-helical elements and three loops (D, anti-codon, and T loops). Further hydrogen bonds mediate the characteristic L-shaped molecular structure. tRNAs have two regions of fundamental functional importance: the anti-codon, which is responsible for specific mRNA codon recognition, and the 3' end, to which the tRNAs corresponding amino acid is attached (by aminoacyl-tRNA synthetases). tRNAs cope with the degeneracy of the genetic code in two manners: having more than one tRNA (with a specific anti-codon) for a particular amino acid; and 'wobble' base-pairing, i.e. permitting non-standard base-pairing at the 3rd anti-codon position.
Source: RNAcentral
GCGGGCGUGAUGGAAUGGUAGACAUACGGGACUUAAAAUCCCGAGGGUGUACACCCGUGUGGGUUCGAGUCCCACCGCCCGCACCA